UUGCCGUGAUGACUUCUCUUAGGACACCUUUGGAGUACCCAUGAAAAAAACCACACUGAUUCUGAGCAAC
Anas platyrhynchos (mallard) is the source of this 70-nucleotide non-coding RNA. Lineage: Eukaryota; Metazoa; Chordata; Aves; Anseriformes; Anatidae. The record is from Rfam.